Molecule: ribosomal RNA, 161 nt
Filed under: Pseudomonas sp. NZIPFR-PS5
Lineage: Bacteria; Pseudomonadati; Pseudomonadota; Gammaproteobacteria; Pseudomonadales; Pseudomonadaceae
Description: partial 16S ribosomal RNA
Rfam family: Bacterial small subunit ribosomal RNA
Source: RNAcentral
CGGGCCUUGUACACACCGCCCGUCACACCAUGGGAGUUGGUUUUGCUUGAAGACGGUGCGCUAACCGUAAGGAGGCAGCCGGCCACGGUAGGGUCAGCGACUGGGGUGAAGUCGUAACAAGGUAGCCGUAGGGGAACCUGUGGCUGGAUCACCUCCUUUCU